UCGCGUGACCAUAGCGAGAGGGACACACCCGUUCCCAUCCCGAACACGGAAGUUAAGCCUCUCAGCGCCGGAUGUACUUGGUGGGUGACUGCCCGGGAGAUAUGGACGUCGCGCGGA
Molecule: ribosomal RNA, 117 nt
Filed under: Geitlerinema splendidum
Lineage: Bacteria; Bacillati; Cyanobacteriota; Cyanophyceae; Geitlerinematales; Geitlerinemataceae
Also listed under: 1 other name
Source: RNAcentral